UACAGAGGGUGCGAGCGUUAAUCGGAAUUAUUGGGCGUAAAGGGCGCGUAGGUGGUUGAUUAAGUUGACUGUGAAAGCCCCGGGCUUAACCUGGGACGGUCAGUCAAUACUGGUUAACUUAGAGUACAGUAGAGGGUAGUGGAAUUUCCAGUGUAGCGGUGAAAUGCGUAGAUAUUGGAAGGAACACCAGUGGCGAAGGCGGCUACCUGGACUGAUACUGACACUGAGGCGCGAAAGCGUGGGUAGCGAACAGG
This 254-nucleotide ribosomal RNA is filed under the name uncultured bacterium. RNAcentral's name for it is "partial 16S ribosomal RNA". It matches the Rfam family "Bacterial small subunit ribosomal RNA", at positions 524 to 776 of the family's 1533-position model. The record is from RNAcentral.